AUCCUCUGAUCGCUUAAUUCUUAUAGAAGCGGGGGAACCAGGUUUUUGGGGUGAAUCGGGAUCGGCCUCUUAAAUGGUUUAAGAAUGAUUAUUAGGAACUUAAAAUCUCCUAAUAAUUAUUCAUUAAAGCCGGGCUUAUUCCGUAGGGUUACUUUUUCAAUCCGAAUCCGUCAGCUAACUUCGCAAGCGUGGAAAAGGAGGAGAA
Molecule: small RNA, 205 nt
Filed under: anaerobic digester metagenome
Description: ydaO-yuaA
Rfam family: c-di-AMP riboswitch aptamer (ydaO/yuaA leader)
About the family: This family represents a conserved RNA structure found upstream of the ydaO and yuaA genes in Bacillus subtilis and related genes in other bacteria.
Source: RNAcentral